RNAcentral lists this ribosomal RNA (1027 nucleotides) under uncultured rumen bacterium. Its description in RNAcentral is "bacterial SSU rRNA". It matches the Rfam family "Bacterial small subunit ribosomal RNA", at positions 8 to 1033 of the family's 1533-position model. The record is from RNAcentral.
AGAGUUUGAUCAUGGCUCAGGAUGAACGCUAGCGGCAGGCUUAACACAUGCAAGUCGAGGGGCAGCGGGUCGUAGCAAUACGAUGCCGGCGACCGGCGCAAGGGUGCGUAACGCGUGAGCAAUCUGCCCGUAUCAGGGGGAUAAGCGAUGGAAACGUCGUCUAAUACCGCAUAACAACGAUGGAGGCAUCUCCGAUGUUUGAAAGCUUCGGUGGAUACGGAUGAGCUCGCGAGACAUUAGUUAGUUGGCGGGGUAACGGCCCACCAAGACCGCGAUGUCUAGGGGAACUGAGAGGUUGGUCCCCCACACUGGAACUGAGACACGGUCCAGACUCCUACGGGAGGCAGCAGUGAGGAAUAUUGGACAAUGGCCGGAAGGCUGAUCCAGCCAUGCCGCGUGAAGGAUAAGGUCCUAUGGAUUGUAAACUUCUUUUGAGUGGGAGCAAUAAGGAUGUCGUGACAUCCGAUGAGAGUACCAUUCGAAUAAGCAUCGGCUAACUCCGUGCCAGCAGCCGCGGUAAUACGGAGGAUGCGAGCGUUAUCCGGAUUUAUUGGGUUUAAAGGGUGCGUAGGCGGUUUGUCAAGUCAGCGGUGAAACGCAAGGGCUUAACCCUUGACCUGCCGUUGAAACUGAUUGACUAGAAUGCGGAUGCUGUGGGAGGAAUGUGUGGUGUAGCGGUGAAAUGCAUAGAUAUCACACAGAACACCGAUUGCGAAGGCAUCUCACAAAUCCGUGAUUGACGCUGAGGCACGAAAGUGUGGGGAUCAAACAGGAUUAGAUGCCCUGGUAGUCCACACUGUAAACGAUGAUGACUCGCUGUCGGCGAUAUACAGUCGGUGGCCAAGCGAAAGCGAUAAGUCAUCCACCUGGGGAGUACGACCGCAAGGUUGAAACUCAAAGGAAUUGACGGGGGCCCGCACAAGCGGAGGAACAUGUGGUUUAAUUCGAUGAUACGCGAGGAACCUUACCCGGGCUCGAACGGUAGACGAACGCUGUAGAGAUACAGCGGUCCUUCGGGACGUCUAUC